RNAcentral lists this ribosomal RNA (486 nucleotides) under uncultured bacterium. RNAcentral's name for it is "partial 16S ribosomal RNA". It matches the Rfam family "Bacterial small subunit ribosomal RNA", at positions 30 to 507 of the family's 1533-position model. The record is from RNAcentral.
AUUGAACGCUGGCGGCAUGCCUUACACAUGCAAGUCGAACGGCAGCACGGGUGCUUGCACCUGGUGGCGAGUGGCGAACGGGUGAGUAAUACAUCGGAACAUGUCCUGUAGUGGGGGAUAGCCCGGCGAAAGCCGGAUUAAUACCGCAUACGAUCCACGGAUGAAAGCGGGGGACCUUCGGGCCUCGCGCUAUAGGGUUGGCCGAUGGCUGAUUAGCUAGUUGGUGGGGUAAAGGCCUACCAAGGCGACGAUCAGUAGCUGGUCUGAGAGGACGACCAGCCACACUGGGACUGAGACACGGCCCAGACUCCUACGGGAGGCAGCAGUGGGGAAUUUUGGACAAUGGGCGAAAGCCUGAUCCAGCAAUGCCGCGUGUGUGAAGAAGGCCUUCGGGUUGUAAAGCACUUUUGUCCGGAAAGAAAUCCUUGACUCUAAUACAGUCGGGGGGUGACGGUACCGGAAGAAUAAGCACCGGCUAACUACGUG